AAUUUGAAAUUUUGGGAAGUGGUGUGACACUCCAAAUUCCUUUUUGUAGGUCCUCAUUUAUAACUGUGUUUUGCCAUCAAUUUUUUUUGCCUCUAAGAGUUGCGAGCCAGAUUACCUUUGUCCAUUUUCAAAUAUGGGAUUCUUCUCCGCCCUUGGACGCCUCCUCUUUGCCUCCUUCUUCAUCCUCUCUGCUUGUUUAACAAUAAUGGUGGGCCAGCAGCUGUGGAAUUGUCUUCAAAGGUAGCUGUUCUGAGGAGAAAUUUAUCAUCCAAGUUGGGGUUGCUAUACCUGAUAUUGAUGUCAGACAUGUGGUUGGUCUUUCAUUAUCUCUCAAAGGGAUUGGAGCUCUUCUAUUUGUUUUGGGCUCAAGAGUUGGAGCUUAUCUUUUGCUUCUUUACUUGGCUAUUAUCACUCCGGUUCUUUUCGAUUUCUUCAACCUUAGUCUACUGAAACCUACUUUUGGUAUCAUGUUAAGUGAUUUCUUAGAGCACAUUGCACUUUUUGGUGCUCUCCUUUUCUUCAUAGGGAUGAAGGGCACAAGUCCAAAGAAGCACUCAAAAAAGAAGACCCAAAAACAAAAAGCAAAAGCAAAAGCACAUUAGAUUUGUCAAAAGCAAAGAUUGGCCAUUGGAUUGGAUUAAUUUGCUGUCAUUCAGUUCUUAGAUUUACACACAUUUUCACCAUUGAUGCAAAAGUUUUGUUUUUGAUUUUUUGGAUAUAUGUUUUGUUUUUCAUUGAUGCCAAAUAGCUUGAAUGAGUAGUUAUGUUCAAUUUGAGCGGCAUUAAGGACUUUGUACUUCUAGCUAAGUUUUGUUAUGGCAUUGUCUUUAUUCUUCUUAAUUGAAAAUCAAAUCUGAUUUAGCA
Molecule: RNA transcript, 864 nt
Organism: Cucumis sativus (cucumber)
Lineage: Eukaryota; Viridiplantae; Streptophyta; Magnoliopsida; Cucurbitales; Cucurbitaceae
Exons: 5
Source: RefSeq, a predicted model, not a curated record